AUUGAACGCUGGCGGCAUGCUUUACACAUGCAAGUCGAACGGCAGCACGUGCUGGGAAACCAGUAUGGUGGCGAGUGGCGGACGGGUGAGUAGAACAUCGGAACGUAUCCAGUUGAGGGGGAUAACCUAGCGAAAGUUAGGCUAAUACCGCGUAAGCUUGAAGAAGGAAAGCAGGGGAUCUUAGGACCUUGCGCGAUUGGAGCGGCCGAUGACUGAUUAGCUAGUUGGUGGGGUAAAGGCCUACCAAGGCGACGAUCGGUAGCUGGUCUGAGAGGAUGAUCAGCCACACUGGGAAUGAGAGACGGCCCAGACUCCUACGGGAGGCAGCAGUGGGGAAUUUUGGACAAUGGGCGAAAGCCUGAUCCAGCAAUGCCGCGUGGGUGAAGAAGGCCUUAGGGUUGUAAAGCCCUUUUAGCGGGGAAGAAAGGGUAUCUGCGAAUAGUGGAUAUUGAUGACGGUACCCGCAGAAAAAGCACCGGCAAACUACGUGCCAGCAGCCGCGGUAACACGUAGGGUGCGAGCGUUAAUCGGAAUUAUUGGGCGUAAAGAGUGCGCAGGCGGAUAGGUAAGUCAGGUGUGAAAUUCCUGGGCUCAACUUGGGGACAGCACUUGAAACUACGUAUCUAGAGUGGGGCAGAGGGAGGUGGAAUUCCACGUGUAGCAGUGAAAUGCGUAGAGAUGUGGAGGAACACCGAUGGCGAAGGCAGCCUCCUGGGCCAGCACUGACGCUCAUGUACGAAAGCGUGGGUAGCAAACAGG
Molecule: ribosomal RNA, 759 nt
Filed under: uncultured bacterium
Lineage: Bacteria
Description: bacterial SSU rRNA
Rfam family: Bacterial small subunit ribosomal RNA
Source: RNAcentral